RNAcentral lists this unclassified non-coding RNA (79 nucleotides) under Kaistella treverensis. RNAcentral's name for it is "Chryseobacterium treverense Flavo-1 RNA". The record is from RNAcentral. Lineage: Bacteria; Pseudomonadati; Bacteroidota; Flavobacteriia; Flavobacteriales; Weeksellaceae.
UCUGCGACCCGGCUUGAACGGAGCUCUUUUUGCGGAGCGCAGCGCAGCAAAAAAGCGGGAGUGGAAGACGGAAUUUGUC